CUGCAGUCGAGCGGACACUUGGAGCUUGCUCCAAGCGUUUAGCGGCGGACGGGUGAGUAACACGUGGGCAACCUGCCCUGCAGAUCGGGAUAACUCCGGGAAACCGGUGCUAAUACCGAAUAGUUUGGGGUCCCUCCUGGGACGCUACGGAAAGACGGUUUCGGCUGUCACUGCAGGAUGGGCCCGCGGCGCAUUAGCUAGUUGGUGGGGUAACGGCCCACCAAGGCCACGAUGCGUAGCCGACCUGAGAGGGUGAUCGGCCACACUGGGACUGAGACACGGCCCAGACUCCUACGGGAGGCAGCAGUAGGGAAUCUUCCGCAAUGGACGCAAGUCUGACGGAGCAACGCCGCGUGAGUGAUGAAGGUUUUCGGAUCGUAAAACUCUGUUGCGAGGGAAGAAACCGUGCCAGCUAACUACUGGCACCUUGACGGUACCUCGCCAGAAAGCCACGGCUAACUACGUGCCAGCAGCCGCGGUAAUACGUAGGUGGCAAGCGUUGUCCGGAAUUAUUGGGCGUAAAGCGCGCGCAGGCGGUCCUUUAAGUCUGAUGUGAAAGCCCACGGCUCAACCGUGGAGGGUCAUUGGAAACUGGGGGACUUGAGUGCAGAAGAGGAAAGUGGAAUUCCAUGUGUAGCGGUGAAAUGCGUAGAGAUGUGGAGGAACACCAGUGGCGAAGGCGACUUUCUGGUCUGUAACUGACGCUGAGGCGCGAAAGCGUGGGGAGCAAACAGGAUUAGAUACCCCUGGUAGUCCACGCCGUAAACGAUG
RNAcentral lists this ribosomal RNA (771 nucleotides) under uncultured Planomicrobium sp. RNAcentral's name for it is "bacterial SSU rRNA". It matches the Rfam family "Bacterial small subunit ribosomal RNA", at positions 55 to 811 of the family's 1533-position model. The record is from RNAcentral. Lineage: Bacteria; Bacillati; Bacillota; Bacilli; Caryophanales; Caryophanaceae.